CCUACGGGUGGCAGCAGUGGGGGAUAUUGCACAAUGGGGGAAACCCUGAUGCAGCGACGCCGCGUGAGUGAAGAAGAAUUUCGGUAUGUAAAGCUCUAUCAGCAGGGAAGAAAAUGACAGUACCUGACCAAGAAGCCGCGGCUAACUACGUGACACCAGCCGCGGUUCUACGGAGGGGGCAAGCGUUAUCCGGAUUUACUGGGUGUAAAGGGAGCGUAGACGGUUAUGUAAGUCUGGAGUGAAAACCUGGGGGCCAACCCCGGGACUGCGUUGGAAACUGUGUAACUUGAGUACAGGAGUGGCAGGCGGAAUUCCUGGUGUAGCGGUGAAAUGCGUAGAUAUCAGGAAGAACACCGGCUGCGAAGGCAGCCUGCUGGACUGAAACUGACGUUGAGGCACGAAAGCGUGGGGAGCGAACAGGAUUAGAUACCCGAGUAGUC
Molecule: ribosomal RNA, 440 nt
Filed under: uncultured bacterium
Lineage: Bacteria
Description: partial 16S ribosomal RNA
Rfam family: Bacterial small subunit ribosomal RNA
Source: RNAcentral